CACGUAGGGUGCGAGCGUUGUCCGGAAUUAUUGGGCGUAAAGAGCUCGUAGGCGGUUUGUUGCGUCGGCUGUGAAAUCCCGAGGCUCAACCUCGGGUCUGCAGUCGAUACGAGCAAACUAGAGUGCUGCAGGGGAGACUGGAAUUCCUGGUGUAGCGGUGAAAUGCGCAGAUAUCAGGAGGAACACCGGUGGCGAAGGCGGGUCUCUGGGCCGUAACUGACGCUGAGGAGCGAAAGCAUGGGGAGCGAACAGG
RNAcentral lists this ribosomal RNA (253 nucleotides) under uncultured bacterium. Its description in RNAcentral is "partial 16S ribosomal RNA". It matches the Rfam family "Bacterial small subunit ribosomal RNA", at positions 524 to 776 of the family's 1533-position model. The record is from RNAcentral.